This 1429-nucleotide ribosomal RNA is filed under the name Lactiplantibacillus pentosus. RNAcentral describes it as "bacterial SSU rRNA". It matches the Rfam family "Bacterial small subunit ribosomal RNA". Lineage: Bacteria; Bacillati; Bacillota; Bacilli; Lactobacillales; Lactobacillaceae. The record is from RNAcentral.
UGCCAAGACUUGCAGUCCGAACGAAGCUUCCUGGUAUUGAUUGGUGCUUGCAUCAUGAUUUACAUUUGAGUGAGUGGCGAACUGGUGAGUAACACGUGGGAAACCUGCCCAGAAGCGGGGGAUAACACCUGGAAACAGAUGCUAAUACCGCAUAACAACUUGGACCGCAUGGUCCGAGUUUGAAAGAUGGCUUCGGCUAUCACUUUUGGAUGGUCCCGCGGCGUAUUAGCUAGAUGGUGGGGUAACGGCUCACCAUGGCAAUGAUACGUAGCCGACCUGAGAGGGUAAUCGGCCACAUUGGGACUGAGACACGGCCCAAACUCCUACGGGAGGCAGCAGUAGGGAAUCUUCCACAAUGGACGAAAGUCUGAUGGAGCAACGCCGCGUGAGUGAAGAAGGGUUUCGGCUCGUAAAACUCUGUUGUUAAAGAAGAACAUAUCUGAGAGUAACUGUUCAGGUAUUGACGGUAUUUAACCAGAAAGCCACGGCUAACUACGUGCCAGCAGCCGCGGUAAUACGUAGGUGGCAAGCGUUGUCCGGAUUUAUUGGGCGUAAAGCGAGCGCAGGCGGUUUUUUAAGUCUGAUGUGAAAGCCUUCGGCUCAACCGAAGAAGUGCAUCGGAAACUGGGAAACUUGAGUGCAGAAGAGGACAGUGGAACUCCAUGUGUAGCGGUGAAAUGCGUAGAUAUAUGGAAGAACACCAGUGGCGAAGGCGGCUGUCUGGUCUGUAACUGACGCUGAGGCUCGAAAGUAUGGGUAGCAAACAGGAUUAGAUACCCUGGUAGUCCAUACCGUAAACGAUGAAUGCUAAGUGUUGGAGGGUUUCCGCCCUUCAGUGCUGCAGCUAACGCAUUAAGCAUUCCGCCUGGGGAGUACGGCCGCAAGGCUGAAACUCAAAGGAAUUGACGGGGGCCCGCACAAGCGGUGGAGCAUGUGGUUUAAUUCGAAGCUACGCGAAGAACCUUACCAGGUCUUGACAUACUAUGCAAAUCUAAGAGAUUAGACGUUCCCUUCGGGGACAUGGAUACAGGUGGUGCAUGGUUGUCGUCAGCUCGUGUCGUGAGAUGUUGGGUUAAGUCCCGCAACGAGCGCAACCCUUAUUAUCAGUUGCCAGCAUUAAGUUGGGCACUCUGGUGAGACUGCCGGUGACAAACCGGAGGAAGGUGGGGAUGACGUCAAAUCAUCAUGCCCCUUAUGACCUGGGCUACACACGUGCUACAAUGGAUGGUACAACGAGUUGCGAACUCGCGAGAGUAAGCUAAUCUCUUAAAGCCAUUCUCAGUUCGGAUUGUAGGCUGCAACUCGCCUACAUGAAGUCGGAAUCGCUAGUAAUCGCGGAUCAGCAUGCCGCGGUGAAUACGUUCCCGGGCCUUGUACACACCGCCCGUCACACCAUGAGAGUUUGUAACACCCAAAGUCGGUGGGGUAA